RNAcentral lists this ribosomal RNA (505 nucleotides) under uncultured bacterium. RNAcentral's name for it is "bacterial SSU rRNA". It matches the Rfam family "Bacterial small subunit ribosomal RNA", at positions 40 to 518 of the family's 1533-position model. The record is from RNAcentral.
CGGCGUGCCUAAUACAUGCAAGUCGAACGGUCUUUCUAUGGAAGCUUGCUUCCACUGAGAAGAUAGUGGCGAACGGGUGAGUAACACGUGGGUAACCUGCCCAUAAGAGGGGGAUAACAUCCGGAAACGGGUGCUAAUACCGCAUAGUUUUCUUGAUCGCAUGAUCGGGAAAGGAAAGACGGCCUUUGUGCUGUCGCCUAUGGAUGGACCCGCGGCGUAUUAGUUAGUUGGUGAGGUAACGGCUCACCAAGACGAUGAUACGUAGCCGACCUGAGAGGGUGAUCGGCCACAUUGGGACUGAGACACGGCCCAAACUCCUACGGGAGGCAGCAAUAGGGAAUCUUCCGCAAUGGACGAAAGUCUGACGGAGCAACGCCGCGUGAGUGAAGAAAGGUUUUCGGAUCGUAAAACUCUGUUGUCAGAGAAGAACAAGUUGGAGAGUAACUGCUCCAGCCUUGACGGUAUCUGACCAGAAAGCCACGGCUAACUACGUGCCAGCCGCAGC